Panthera uncia (snow leopard) is the source of this 268-nucleotide long non-coding RNA. RefSeq lists it as uncharacterized. Lineage: Eukaryota; Metazoa; Chordata; Mammalia; Carnivora; Felidae. The transcript has 2 exons. The record is from RefSeq and is a predicted model, not a curated record.
UUUUUUUUUUUACACUGAACCAAAUUCUGUAUAAGAAAUCAGCAUAGCCAAGGGGCGCCUGGGUGGCUCAGUCGGUUAAGCAUCCGACUUCAGCUCAGGUCACGAUCUCACGGUCCGUGAGUUCGAGCCCCGCGUUGGGCUCUGGGCUGAUGGCUCAGAGCCUGGAGCCUGCUUCCGAUUCUGUGUCUCCCUCUCUCUCUGCCCCUCCCCUGUUCAUGCUCUGUCUCUCUCUGUCUCAAAAAUAAAUAAACGUUAAAAAAAAAAAAAA